This is a long non-coding RNA of Gossypium arboreum, 282 nucleotides long. RefSeq lists it as uncharacterized. The transcript has 2 exons. The record is from RefSeq and is a predicted model, not a curated record. Lineage: Eukaryota; Viridiplantae; Streptophyta; Magnoliopsida; Malvales; Malvaceae.
GUUGUCGACUAGCCGCUCCGUUCCGUUUUAUAUCGUCCGAGAUUUUGAAUUCAAGUUACAAGCUCGGGGAUUGUCAGCAAAGUCUAUCACACUAUCUACAGCUUGGGUAUUAAAAUAAUCAAACUUGAAUUAUGGAAUGUAUAGGCUGGAAUUUGUUUUGAAACGAUAAACUUUGGUUUUGUAUAAAGGCCAUGCGAAAAUGGCUUAUUUCUAUGCUAAAUUCGGUUAUGCUUGAUUGUGUUUGAAUUCAUUUUGGUUAUAGUGUUAAGUGCUAUGAUGAAA